UACCAUAUUGCAUUUAAGUUAUUUAUGCCACACAUUUUUUCCAUUCUUCUAUGCUCAUGUAAAGAUUGUGUACGUCUGCAACUCACUGAGUUCAACUGCGCCUUCAUGGUAUGCUUUCUAUUCCGUAAGCGGUAAGCCUAUCCAUUUGAAGUUCCGAAUAGGAUCUACUUCACUUCUAAUCAUAGGCGACGCCACCUGACUUUCAGUUUGAGUAGCUUCUUCAAGGUCGUCAAAAAAGUCUGCUUCAAACAACCCUCGCAGACUUUGGAUAGAUCUGAGGGAAGCAAAUUCAUUAUACAACAGUGCAAACAAAGGAAAGUUCCAUGAUCAUGUUCAGUUAACCAUGAAACAACUUUUAGUUCUAAGCUCAAGGUUACUUAAUUUAAGUUUUACAUGACCGGUCGGACUAUUGCUCGCUAUAACUGAAACUGUGAGGAAUAGAGGCACCAGAAGAUGACAACCAAAGUAGCAGGGUUGUUUUAAGGGUGUCGAGGCAUUACAUACCUCUGGUGUAGCCAUCGUUGGCGAUAUUGGACAGCUCGACAUAUGUUCUUCUACCUCCGCGAACUCGAAGCUUCUUCCUCCGGCGAACUUGAAGCCAACAUGAUGCUUUUCUGGUCCAACUACUCCAGGAUUUGAUGGAUUUUCUGGUCCAACUAUGCAACCUGAUGGAGACGCCAGCCGAGGAUCCUCAGCGAAGUCCAGCCCUGGUCGAGCAAUCCAUUGUUUUGUGUUGGAGAAGGACACCAUCACGAAUUCAAUCCAAGUCAGACAUGGCAACAGGAGAAGGCUCUGCCAGUGGCGAACAGGUCACAGCGGCCUGCUCUCAGCCGGCACUGGUGGACGGCGAACUCACCCUGCCUCCUCGAUGCAUGCUCUCCCUCCACCAGCAACGCUUGCGGUCGCGCCGCUCCGUCCUCGCCUCUCCUCGUUCCUGCUUCCGACCACAUCGGCAGCCCUGGUUUGCAGCCCCUCAUCGUCCUCUGCUCCGGCCGCACCUUGGCUAACCGAAGCAUGUGCAUCCUUGCGUUCUCGUCGUCCUCNN
Molecule: long non-coding RNA, 1045 nt
Filed under: Hordeum vulgare
Lineage: Eukaryota; Viridiplantae; Streptophyta; Magnoliopsida; Poales; Poaceae
Description: long non-coding RNA (HVUL_LNC008325)
Source: RNAcentral